This 468-nucleotide ribosomal RNA is filed under the name uncultured bacterium. RNAcentral describes it as "partial 16S ribosomal RNA". It matches the Rfam family "Bacterial small subunit ribosomal RNA", at positions 28 to 507 of the family's 1533-position model. The record is from RNAcentral.
GACGAACGCUGGCGGCGUGCUUAACACAUGCAAGUCGAACGGAAAGACCCUGAUUUUGUUGGGUGCUCGAGUGGCGAACGGGUGAGUGACACGUGAGUAACAUGCCCUUGAAUUUGGGAUAAAUUCAGGAAAAUGGGGCUAAUACAGGAUAGGAGCUACUGCAGCAUGGUGGGGGUUGGAAAGAUUCGGCGGUUGGGGAUGGACUGGCGGGUUAUCAGCUUGUUGGGGGGGUAGUGGCUGACAAAGGCUUUGACGGGUAGCCGGCCUGAGAGGGUGACCGGCCACAUUGGGACUGAGAUACGGCCCAGACUCCUACGGUAGGCAGCAGUGGAGAAUAUUGCACAAUGGGCGGAAGCCUGAUGCAGCAACGCCGCGUGCGUGAUGACGGCCUUCUGGUUGUAAACCGCUGUCGCCUGUGACGAAGCGUUAGUGACGGUAAUUGGUAAAGAAGCACCGGCUAACUACGUG